UCCGGGGUAGCUCAGUUGGCAGAGCGUUCGACUGUUAAUCGAAAUGUCGUGGGUUCGAGCCCCACCCCCGGAG
Molecule: transfer RNA, 73 nt
Filed under: Acidimicrobiia bacterium
Lineage: Bacteria; Bacillati; Actinomycetota; Acidimicrobiia
Description: tRNA-Asn
Rfam family: tRNA
About the family: Transfer RNA (tRNA) molecules are approximately 80 nucleotides in length. Their secondary structure includes four short double-helical elements and three loops (D, anti-codon, and T loops).
Source: RNAcentral